RNAcentral lists this long non-coding RNA (354 nucleotides) under Ananas comosus (pineapple). RNAcentral's name for it is "long non-coding RNA (ACOM_LNC004540)". Lineage: Eukaryota; Viridiplantae; Streptophyta; Magnoliopsida; Poales; Bromeliaceae. The record is from RNAcentral.
CGGUGUGCAACAUCAAAGUUAAGGCUUCGUUUGGAUUGCGGGGAGAUAGUGUUACGUGCGGCGAGAAAGUACGAUGGAUAAAUAUUCUGUUUGUUUUAGUACGUAAUAUUGCGUUACGCAUAUCGCGAUGAGUCGGUUACGAUAUAUUUUCCGCAGUUCCACCGGAGAACGCAGAAACAUAUUCCUAAAUGUUUUUUUCUCAACUCUAUUUUAUCUAAUAACAUUUGAUAUGACUCAAUACCAAACUAAACCUAAGAAACUCACGGUCUACCGUGGUUUGUUAAUUUUACGUUUAUCCAAAAGUCCUAACUUUUCAUUCUUAAAAUUUAAAUUUUUUAAAUUUAAUAUAUAAAA